Molecule: transfer RNA, 70 nt
Filed under: Nyctimene cephalotes
Lineage: Eukaryota; Metazoa; Chordata; Mammalia; Chiroptera; Pteropodidae
Description: tRNA-His
Rfam family: tRNA
About the family: Transfer RNA (tRNA) molecules are approximately 80 nucleotides in length.
Source: RNAcentral
GUAAAUAUAGUUUAAAACAAAACAUCAGAUUGUGAAUCUGGUAACAGAGAUUAAAACACUCUUAUUUACC